This 426-nucleotide ribosomal RNA is filed under the name uncultured Acetobacterium sp. Its description in RNAcentral is "bacterial SSU rRNA". It matches the Rfam family "Bacterial small subunit ribosomal RNA", at positions 356 to 774 of the family's 1533-position model. The record is from RNAcentral. Lineage: Bacteria; Bacillati; Bacillota; Clostridia; Eubacteriales; Eubacteriaceae.
GGGGAAUAUUGCGCAAUGGGGGAAACCCUGACGCAGCAAUACCGCGUGAGUGAAGAAGGUUUUCGGAUCGUAAAGCUCUGUUAUUGGGGAAGAACCAGUACGUCAGGCAAUGGACGUACCUUGACGGUACCUUAUUAGAAAGCCACGGCUAACUACGUGCCAGCAGCCGCGGUAAUACGUAGGGGACAAGCGUUGUCCGGAUUUACUGGGCGUAAAGGGCACGCAGGCGGUUUUUUAAGUCAGAUGUGAAAGGUACCGGCUCAACCGGUGACAUGCAUUUGAAACUGAAAGACUUGAGUAUUGGAGAGGCAAGUGGAAUUCCUAGUGUAGCGGUGAAAUGCGUAGAUAUUAGGAGGAACACCGGUGGCGAAGGCGGCUUGCUGGACAAACACUGACGCUGAGGUGCGAAAGCGUGGGGAGCAAACA